CACCAUAGUCCCAGCUUGUCUUCCAGAUUCUAACGGACCAAGAAAACCAUUAAGUGAUAUCAGUAAACAAGUCUUGUGGCUGACGUGUGUGAAGGGAAGUUGCUGCCAUGGGCGUUCAAGAUUAUGCAGACUCAAAUUUGAAGCCAUCUGUUGUUUUAACUGGAUCUGCAAAGGAAUCUAACGGACCAUCCAUUGGUCGUAUAGACAUUGGGGUCAGUCAUAGUGCCUUCCUUUUUCGAGUUGCAUUGCCAAGUAUCAGGAACGAUCACAGUAAGUGAAAUGUGAGAUGCAACGUGAUGGGAAAGUUCUUAUACAGGGCAUGAUAACACAGGGCAUUGGAGUGGUUCAGGAACUAUCGAGCAAAUGCGAGAUGAUAGUCGAGGAGUUUUGCUCUCCCGGGCCGUUCACGAUUUCCUUAAUCUGCCUGGACGGUUGAUCCCGAUUGUUUUCUCAAUUUCCGCCCUGACGGAAUUCUGGAAGUGGUGGUCCUGAGAAGCAGGGGAACAGGGAUGCCGGAGCUUCACCUUGUUGAGAUCCUUGUGGUGACAUUAAGCGUCAAAGUGUUUAGGAAAAUGGCCAAUCAAAACGAGGUAUAUUCAUAUAUUGGUCUAAAUGUAAAAAACAAAAUCCGAGAGACAGCAAUGCUGCAAAUAAACCAAACAUGUUUAAAGUUCGGUUUGAAGUUGUUGGUCGUAAAAAAAACAAUACCAAGAACCGAUUGGUUCAGUGGUAUGGCGUUACCGUCUCCUAUUCUCUUUUACAAUCUUGUACUUAUUGUCAGGUU
Long non-coding RNA from Hibiscus syriacus, 784 nucleotides. RefSeq lists it as uncharacterized. The transcript has 3 exons. The record is from RefSeq and is a predicted model, not a curated record. Lineage: Eukaryota; Viridiplantae; Streptophyta; Magnoliopsida; Malvales; Malvaceae.